Molecule: ribosomal RNA, 460 nt
Filed under: uncultured bacterium
Lineage: Bacteria
Description: partial 16S ribosomal RNA
Rfam family: Bacterial small subunit ribosomal RNA
Source: RNAcentral
CCUACGGGUGGCAGCAGUGAGGAAUCUUGGUCAAUGGACGAGAGUCUGAACCAGCCAAGUAGCGUGAAGGAUGACUGCCCUAUGGGUUGUAAACUUCUUUUAUAUGGGAAUAAAAUGUUCCACGUGUGGGAUUUUGUAUGUACCAUAUGAAUAAGGAUCGGCUAACUCCGUGCCAGCAGCCGCGGUAAUACGGAGGAUCCGAGCGUUAUCCGGAUUUAUUGGGUUUAAAGGGAGCGUAGGUAGAUUGUUAAGUCAGUUGUGAAAGUUUGCGGCUCAACCGUAAAAUUGCAGUUGAAACUGGCAGUCUUGAGUACAGUAGAGGUGGGCGGAAUUCGUGGUGUAGCGGUGAAAUGCUUAGAUAUCACGAAGAACUCCGAUUGCGAAGGCAGUUCACUGGACUGCAACUGACACUGAGGCUCGAAAGUGUGGGUAUCAAACAGGAUUAGAUACACCUGUAGUC